Molecule: ribosomal RNA, 2212 nt
Filed under: Campylobacter coli
Lineage: Bacteria; Pseudomonadati; Campylobacterota; Epsilonproteobacteria; Campylobacterales; Campylobacteraceae
Description: partial 23S ribosomal RNA
Rfam family: Bacterial large subunit ribosomal RNA
Source: RNAcentral
AAAAAAGGUAAGCUACUAAGAGCGAAUGGUGGAUGCCUUGACUGGUAAAGGCGAUGAAGGACGUACUAGACUGCGAUAAGCUACGGGGAGCUGUCAAGAAGCUUUGAUCCGUAGAUUUCCGAAUGGGGCAACCCAAUGUAUAGAGAUAUACAUUACCUAUAUAGGAGCGAACGAGGGGAAUUGAAACAUCUUAGUACCCUCAGGAAAAGAAAUCAAUAGAGAUUGCGUCAGUAGCGGCGAGCGAAAGCGCAAGAGGGCAAACCCAGUGCUUGCACUGGGGGUUGUAGGACUGCAAUGUGCAAGAGGUGAGUUUAGCAGAACAUUCUGGAAAGUAUAGCCAUAGAGGGUGAUAGUCCCGUAUGCGAAAAACAAACCUUAGCUAGCAGUAUCCUGAGUAGGGCGGGACACGAGAAAUCCUGUCUGAAGCUGGGUCGACCACGAUCCAACCCUAAAUACUAAUACCAGAUCGAUAGUGCACAAGUACCGUGAGGGAAAGGUGAAAAGAACUGAGGUGAUCAGAGUGAAAUAGAACCUGAAACCAUUUGCUUACAAUCAUUCAGAGCCCUAUGUAGCAAUACAGGGUGAUGGACUGCCUUUUGCAUAAUGAGCCUGCGAGUUGUGGUGUCUGGCAAGGUUAAGCAAACGUGAAGCCGUAGCGAAAGCGAGUCUGAAUAGGGCGCUUAGUCAGAUGCUGCAGACCCGAAACGAAGUGAUCUAUCCAUGAGCAAGUUGAAGCUAGUGUAAGAACUAGUGGAGGACUGAACCCAUAGGCGUUGAAAAGCCCCGGGAUGACUUGUGGAUAGGGGUGAAAGGCCAAUCAAACUUCGUGAUAGCUGGUUCUCUCCGAAAUAUAUUUAGGUAUAGCGUUGUGUCGUAAUAUAAGGGGGUAGAGCACUGAAUGGGCUAGGGCAUACACCAAUGUACCAAACCCUAUCAAACUCCGAAUACCUUAUAUGUAAUCACAGCAGUCAGGCGGCGAGUGAUAAAAUCCGUCGUCAAGAGGGAAACAACCCAGACUACCAGCUAAGGUCCCUAAAUCUUACUUAAGUGGAAAACGAUGUGAAGUUACUUAAACAACCAGGAGGUUGGCUUAGAAGCAGCCAUCCUUUAAAGAAAGCGUAAUAGCUCACUGGUCUAGUGAUUUUGCGCGGAAAAUAUAACGGGGCUAAAGUAAGUACCGAAGCUGUAGACUUGCGCACAACUUAGAUUAUUUAAGUUUAGAAUAUGAGAAACUAAGUUAUAUGUUUAGUUAUAUUUUUACUGAUUUUUAUAGAGUAAAGAUAGAAAUAAAACUUAGUAAAAUCAGUAAAAAUAUUCUUAGACUAAAGUUAAGUAGUUUAAGUUGUGUGCAAGUGGUAGGAGAGCGUUCUAUUUGCGUCGAAGGUAUACCGGUAAGGAGUGCUGGAGCGAAUAGAAGUGAGCAUGCAGGCAUGAGUAGCGAUAAUUAAUGUGAGAAUCAUUAACGCCGUAAACCCAAGGUUUCCUACGCGAUGCUCGUCAUCGUAGGGUUAGUCGGGUCCUAAGUCGAGUCCGAAAGGGGUAGACGAUGGCAAAUUGGUUAAUAUUCCAAUACCAACAUUAGUGUGCGAUGGAAGGACGCUUAGGGCUAAGGGGGCUAGCGGAUGGAAGUGCUAGUCUAAGGUCGUAGGAGGUUAUACAGGCAAAUCCGUAUAACAAUACUCCGAGAACUGAAAGGCUUUUUGAAGUCUUCGGAUGGAUAGAAGAACCCCUGAUGCCGUCGAGCCAAGAAAAGUUUCUAAGUUUAGCUAAUGUUGCCCGUACCGUAAACCGACACAGGUGGGUGGGAUGAGUAUUCUAAGGCGCGUGGAAGAACUCUCUUUAAGGAACUCUGCAAAAUAGCACCGUAUCUUCGGUAUAAGGUGUGGUUCGCUUCGUAUUAGGAUUUACUCCGAAAGCGAAGAAACUUACAACAAAGAGUCCCUCCCGACUGUUUACCAAAAACACAGCACUCUGCUAACUCGUAAGAGGAUGUAUAGGGUGUGACGCCUGCCCGGUGCUCGAAGGUUAAUUGAUGGGGUUAGCAUUAGCGAAGCUCUUGAUCGAAGCCCGAGUAAACGGCGGCCGUAACUAUAACGGUCCUAAGGUAGCGAAAUUCCUUGUCGGUUAAAUACCGACCUGCAUGAAUGGCGUAACGAGAUGGGAGCUGUCUCAAAGAGGGAUCCAGUGAAAUUGUAGUGGAGGUGAAAAUUCC